Molecule: ribosomal RNA, 208 nt
Filed under: uncultured bacterium
Lineage: Bacteria
Description: partial 16S ribosomal RNA
Rfam family: Bacterial small subunit ribosomal RNA
Source: RNAcentral
CUCGUAGGUGGUUUGUCGCGUCGUCUGUGAAAUUCCGGGGCUUAACUCCGGGCGUGCAGGCGAUACGGGCAUAACUUGAGUACUGUAGGGGAGACUGGAAUUCCUGGUGUAGCGGUGAAAUGCGCAGAUAUCAGGAGGAACACCGGUGGCGAAGGCGGGUCUCUGGGCAGUAACUGACGCUGAGGAGCGAAAGCAUGGGUAGCGAACA